RNAcentral lists this ribosomal RNA (245 nucleotides) under uncultured Eubacteriales bacterium. RNAcentral's name for it is "uncultured Clostridiales bacterium partial 16S ribosomal RNA". It matches the Rfam family "Bacterial small subunit ribosomal RNA", at positions 524 to 768 of the family's 1533-position model. Lineage: Bacteria; Bacillati; Bacillota; Clostridia; Eubacteriales. The record is from RNAcentral.
UACGUAGGGGGCGAGCGUUGUCCGGAAUUAUUGGGCGUAAAGGGCGUGUAGGUGGCCAGAUAAGCGUAAUGUGGAAGUCCAUAUUUCAAGUAUGGAAGUGCGCUAUGAACUGUCUGGCUUGAGUGCAGGAGAGGGAAGCGGAAUUCCUGGUGUAGCGGUAAAAUGCGUAGAUAUCAGGAGGAACACCGGUGGCGAAGGCGGCUUUCUGGACUGUAACUGACACUGAGGCGCGAAAGCGUGGGGAU